RNAcentral lists this long non-coding RNA (312 nucleotides) under Carica papaya (papaya). Its description in RNAcentral is "long non-coding RNA (CPAP_LNC007736)". The record is from RNAcentral. Lineage: Eukaryota; Viridiplantae; Streptophyta; Magnoliopsida; Brassicales; Caricaceae.
UCAAAAUAAAUUCUAGUCCUUAACAACAAUUUAAAUUUGUCAAUUGCUUUCAUAUUGUUGGUUUGUCAUCGCCCACAUAAAUGAAUUUGACACCAUCACUUAGCUUGCGACAAUGGAGGCAACCUUGCAUUAACACACUGAUAUGAGUUGUGGCACCAUAAUUCUAUCUAGCAGGUGUGUAUAAGAACAAAAGUUAAAUUAAUCUCAGAACAAAUAAAAUUAAGAAGCACAUAUUUCUUUGGGCACCAUGUAUGAUAAUUAGCGCAUUGCUUCUUCUGGUGCUUCGAAGCUUUACAGAAGAAACAAAUAUUU